AUAAAAUGGAAAUGAAGUGCCAGAAAUUAAUAUCGGUUGGAGGUAAGGUUGACAGUUAUCAGCAGAUGUGACAAAGCGGGCAACUUAACAACAAACAACGGCGGUCAGAGGUCGAAACAAGCGCUAGAAAUGUGGCUAACUGCACAGACCUGCUGCUACAUACACAUUUACUUAAGUGCUGGACAGAGUUGAAGAGACACAAGUGCACUGCAUUUGAAGCCGGUGGAUAAGAAGCGCGACGGAAACGCUGUAUGGACUAAGUACACAACGCUAUGCGCACGUAUAUUUAAUUAUGCAAACAACAUUGGUGGAAUAUAAAGAAUCUGGGGAGUUUUCAAAUGCAUACCAUUAAAUGGAGAGGAAUGUGGAACUACUUGGUGCUAACGAAUAUGCCGUAUACCUUGUGUAAUUGUAAACAGAACAAUGGACUAACAAAGCAGAGAGCAAAAGAAUUUUCAAGACAAACUAGUAAACUUACUAAGGAAAGAAGUAGAUAGGUAGAGUGGCCAUCUGACGACGCACCCAGGGCAUUAGGAGGCCCGUCACUCAAGCAAGAUUAACCAAUUUUGAGACUAAAUAUCAAGCGAUCGAUCGAUUUUGCCGCUACAACAACAUUAACAA
This is a long non-coding RNA of Bactrocera latifrons, 621 nucleotides long. RefSeq lists it as uncharacterized. Lineage: Eukaryota; Metazoa; Arthropoda; Insecta; Diptera; Tephritidae. The transcript is spliced from 3 exons. The record is from RefSeq and is a predicted model, not a curated record.